AGCGGAUGCGCGGCGUGGGUGACUGGGGCGGCGUGGUAGCCCUCGGGGAAAAGGGGCUCGAUAUGCUCGCGGUCGCGAGCAUCGAAGCAGACGGCAGCAGUUUAACAUCUGCAGACUACAUCCACCUGUACACGACCUUAGGAAAGAUGUCAAUGGAAUUAAAUCCCCACCAAAUCUACGAGCGCUACAAAGAGGCAUCUGAAGAUUACCUCAAAACAAAAGUUUGCCCUCAUUGAACCAUAAUGAAGAAGAAUGUCUGUUGAGGGAAAUGGUAAUCAGAUGGAGGAAGCAUCUAAGUAUGGUCACGUGGUUGAGUGAGCUUUUGCAUUACAUCAGUGGCUACAACAUCUCAGACACGACACUCUCAGAACUAAGGGAGCUUAGCUGCAGUCAAUUCUUUGAAUUGGUUUUUGAUGAGAUAAAGGAUAAGGUAACUGAUGCUGGACUGUUUCCUUUAUCAGAAAUAUUCAAGGAGCAUGUAUUUGAAGAGGUGAUGUCCUUGCUGAAGCGGCAAUAGAUGCUACUAGCCACUUGAAGAAAGAGAAAGUUCUAGAUUGGUUGAAAUAG
Panicum hallii is the source of this 567-nucleotide long non-coding RNA. RefSeq lists it as uncharacterized. The transcript is spliced from 6 exons. Lineage: Eukaryota; Viridiplantae; Streptophyta; Magnoliopsida; Poales; Poaceae. The record is from RefSeq and is a predicted model, not a curated record.